Molecule: ribosomal RNA, 509 nt
Filed under: uncultured Glomeromycotina
Lineage: Eukaryota; Fungi; Glomeromycota
Description: partial small subunit ribosomal RNA
Rfam family: Eukaryotic small subunit ribosomal RNA
Source: RNAcentral
AAUUCCAGCUCCAAUAGCGUAUAUUAAAGUUGUUGCAGUUAAAAAGCUCGUAGUUGAAUUUCGGGAUCAAUAUAUCGGUCGUGCCAUUGGUACGUACUGGUAUCAUUGGUUUCUCCUUUCUGACGAACCAUGAUGUCAUUAAUUUGGUGUUAUGGGAAGUUAGGACUGUUACUUUGAAAAAAUUAGAGUGUUUAAAGCAGGCUUUAGCUUGAAUACAUUAGCAUGGAAUAAUGAAAUAGGACGUUCGAACCUAUUUUGUUGGUUUCUAGGAUCAACGUAAUGAUUAAUAGGGAUAGUUGGGGGCAUUAGUAUUCAAUUGUCAGAGGUGAAAUUCUUGGAUUUAUUGAAGACUAACUACUGCGAAAGCAUUUGCCAAGGAUGUUUUCAUUAAUCAAGAACGAAAGUUAGGGGAUCGAAGACGAUCAGAUACCGUCGUAGUCUUAACCAUAAACUAUGCCGACUAGGGAUCGGAUGAUGUUAAUUUUUAAUGACUCAUUCGGCGCCUUACG